AUAUGAGGGCCUACAGAGUGUUCUGGUAUGAACUAUGAAGAUCCCAAAUCUAGAUUUAGGUCUGAGAUCACCUAGUCGAACAUCUGAUUUGAUCCAAUCCAUUCAAUUUGACAGACAAGAACUAGAGAAAUUAGGUGACUUGCUCAGCAGGCCACAGGUAAGCAGACAGAGCGAGCCAGGAUUUAGAGCCAGGUCCUCUAUCUGCAAAUCCAGGGAAGAGAUUGAAAGCUGAGCUUGGAUCUCCUACCAUGGACUUUAAGAACCCAAGGCCAUCUCUGCACCACAAUGAGGAUAUCAGAAUAAGGUGUUCCUGAUGCUGCCCUAUUGGUCUUUGUUGGAACAACCCUGCAUAGAACAAUCAGUGCAGAGGUUGGAGAAGAAAAUUCAAUGCUAAUGUGCUGGCCCUUUGACUUUGCUUGGAGCUAGAG
Molecule: non-coding RNA, 428 nt
Organism: Phascolarctos cinereus (koala)
Lineage: Eukaryota; Metazoa; Chordata; Mammalia; Diprotodontia; Phascolarctidae
Source: RefSeq, a predicted model, not a curated record